GGUCAAAGUAAUUAAAAGAGUCUAUGGUGAAUGCCUACCAGC
RNAcentral lists this ribosomal RNA (42 nucleotides) under Borreliella garinii. RNAcentral's name for it is "partial 23S ribosomal RNA". Lineage: Bacteria; Pseudomonadati; Spirochaetota; Spirochaetia; Spirochaetales; Borreliaceae. The record is from RNAcentral.